Long non-coding RNA from Dermacentor silvarum, 1083 nucleotides. RefSeq lists it as uncharacterized. The transcript is spliced from 3 exons. The record is from RefSeq and is a predicted model, not a curated record. NCBI's taxonomy places the organism in Eukaryota, Metazoa, Arthropoda, Arachnida, Ixodida, Ixodidae.
UGCAGGGCUCAUGUGGGGAAUUUUGCGUUGUCUAAGGACAAGCGCCGACGGCGGCUCCCUGGACGUUCAGGUUGAGGCGGGAUGGCGGUAUUGUGUCGGUUGUGGACAAAUCGUGCACGCGGAAAUUUUUACUGUUGUUCAGUCGUUUUCUUCGCGAGUUGUCCGCCUAUUUGUGUGGUGAGAACAAACGUCAAUGCGAGUGCUCGAGUGAGUUGUGCUGCAAGGACACAAGCGGUGCUACAUUAGUGAAAUGUGCAGACUCUAUCGAUAGAGAAACGUCGUGGAUGAAAGGAAGGCAACAACGUCACUAUGAUGGACUCGUACACUCCACUCUGGCAAGUUCCUCUGGCAAGGAUCAGCAAUCAGAUGCACUGUCACCACAGUUUAUGUACUACCGGCAAUCUCCUCUAUGCUGCUGCACAUUACAAAGACAAGGAUAUCAACCAUUCUAUUGAGAGAAGUGCUGCAAUAAGUUAAAACGGCGGCUGCUAACAUAGGAAGCGGUUAACAUCAUGGUGCAUAUUAAAGACGCCAUCUCCUAAAAGCCUUUGACUGCCAGGAUGUGAAAUGUUCCCAUCAAUGAUCUUGUAAUGCUUGCUAAAUUCAAAAACAUCUGUCUCUCUUAUGGAAGCCUGCAAGAAUAUACUGUUUUAGAAAAGCUGGCAUUUCUUUUGCUAGGUGUCUACAAAGACCUACUUAGGGACGUCAGUUCACCCUUGUGGACUCUAGUGGUCCAUGCAACCCUUGUUGAAUGCAAGCAAAAAUGGGAAGACAUGCAGCUGACUAGGGCAUGUCUCUGAGAGAACGUCCAAUGGAGCAAUAUUUGAAAGGGCGACAACUUGCAUACACUGAGGGCUCCCAUGAUAAAUAUGACCUAGAGACUAUCAAUCCCACAAAUGCUCCUCCAGUUGCUUUGAUCUUGACUGCCUUAAUCUUCAUAACCACGCAUGAAAUAAAGAACCAGGCACCUGUACCCUGUUGAACACACCCAAGUUUCUUUAGAACUCAGAACGUUAUUUCAAAGUGUUCCUUGACAAUGCACAUUGUAUGAGUGUCAAGAUUAAAGAAAUAAAAAAUUCACAA